This 382-nucleotide ribosomal RNA is filed under the name uncultured Alphaproteobacteria bacterium. Its description in RNAcentral is "bacterial SSU rRNA". It matches the Rfam family "Bacterial small subunit ribosomal RNA", at positions 9 to 407 of the family's 1533-position model. Lineage: Bacteria; Pseudomonadati; Pseudomonadota; Alphaproteobacteria. The record is from RNAcentral.
GAGUUUGAUCCUGGCUCAGAACGAACGCUGGCGGCAGGCUUAACACAUGCAAGUCGAACGAGCUGGGACCUUCGGGUCCCGAUGCUAGUGGCGCACGGGUGAGUAACACGUGGGAACGUACCCUUUAGUACGGAAUAACCCAGGGAAACUUGGGCUAAUACCGUAUGACUCCUUCGGGAGAAAGAUUUAUCGCUAAAGGAACGGCCCGCGUCUGAUUAGGUAGUUGGUAGGGUAACGGCCUACCAAGCCAACGAUCAGUAGCUGGUCUGAGAGGAUGAUCAGCCACACUGGGACUGAGACACGGCCCAGACUCCUACGGGAGGCAGCAGUGGGGAAUAUUGGACAAUGGGGGCAACCCUGAUCCAGCCAUGCCGCGUGAGUG